This 357-nucleotide ribosomal RNA is filed under the name Triticum aestivum (bread wheat). Its description in RNAcentral is "partial small subunit ribosomal RNA". Lineage: Eukaryota; Viridiplantae; Streptophyta; Magnoliopsida; Poales; Poaceae. The record is from RNAcentral.
CGCCAAUGUCAACUCCUGAUCCAGCAGUUUCAGGGAAAACAGUCUAAUAACAAGGAGAAGGAGUCGGACAAGGCCGAAGACAAGGAGGACAGUGAGGAAGGAUAUCCGCAUAUCAACUCUACUCUGAUGAUCUUUGCAGAUGUGGAGAGCAAGAGUCGAUUGAAAGUUAUUAACCGUGAGGUGAACAUGGUUGCCCCAGCGAAAGCAAAUUAUCUGAAAUGGUCCCAAACACCCAUCACCUUCGACCAAUCUGAUCACCCGACUCAUAUUGCCACCCCUGGGAGGCAAGCUUUGGUGGUCGAUCCAGUUGUUGAAGGCACUCGACUGACAAAAGUGCUUAUGGACGGUGGUAGUGGG